GACGAACGCUGGCGGCGUGCUUAACACAUGCAAGUCGAACGGAAAGGCCCUGCUUUUGUGGGGUGCUCGAGUGGCGAACGGGUGAGUAACACGUGAGUAACCUGCCCUUGACUUUGGGAUAACUUCAGGAAACUGGGGCUAAUACCGGAUAGGAGCUCCUGCCGCAUGGUGGGGGUUGGAAAGUUUCGGCGGUUGGGGAUGGACUCGCGGCUUAUCAGCUUGUUGGUGGGGUAGUGGCUUACCAAGGCUUUGACGGGUAGCCGGCCUGAGAGGGUGACCGGCCACAUUGGGACUGAGAUACGGCCCAGACUCCUACGGGAGGCAGCAGUGGGGAAUAUUGCACAAUGGGCGGAAGCCUGAUGCAGCAACGCCGCGUGCGGGAUGACGGCCUUCGGGUUGUAAACCGCUUUCGCCUGUGACGAAGCGUGAGUGACGGUAAUGGGUAAAGAAGCACCGGCUAACUACGUGCCAGCAGCCGCGGUGAUACGUAGGGUGCGAGCGUUGUCCGGAUUUAUUGGGCGUAAAGGGCUCGUAGGUGGUUGAUCGCGUCGGAAGUGUAAUCUUGGGGCUUAACCCUGAGCGUGCUUUCGAUACGGGUUGACUUGAGGAAGGUAGGGGAGAAUGGAAUUCCUGGUGGAGCGGUGGAAUGCGCAGAUAUCAGGAGGAACACCAGUGGCGAAGGCGGUUCUCUGGGCCUUUCCUGACGCUGAGGAGCGAAAGCGUGGGGAGCGAACAGGCUUAGAUACCCUGGUAGUCCACGCUGUAAACGGUGGGUACUAGGUGUGGGGUCCAUUCCACGGGUUCCGUGCCGUAGCUAACGCUUUAAGUACCCCGCCUGGGGAGUACGGCCGCAAGGCUAAAACUCAAAGGAAUUGACGGGGCCCCGCACAAGCGGCGGAGCAUGCGGAUUAAUUCGAUGCAACGCGUAGAACCUUACCUGGGUUUGACAUGGAUCGGGAGUGCUCAGAGAUGGGUGUGCCUCUUUUGGGGUCGGUUCACAGGUGGUGCAUGCCUGUCGUCAGCUCGUGUCGUGAGAUGUUGGGUUAAGUCCCGCAACGAGCGCAACCCUUGUUCACUGUUGCCAGCACGUUAUGGUGGGGACUCAGUGGAGACCGCCGGGGUCAACUCGGAGGAAGGUGGGGAUGACGUCAAGUCAUCAUGCCCCUUAUGUCCAGGGCUUCACGCAUGCUACAAUGGCUGGUACAGAGAGUGGCGAGCCUGUGAGGGUGAGCGAAUCUCGGAAAGCCGGUCUCAGUUCGGAUUGGGGUCUGCAACUCGACCUCAUGAAGUCGGAGUCGCUAGUAAUCGCAGAUCAGCAACGCUGCGGUGAAUACGUUCCCGGGGCU
Molecule: ribosomal RNA, 1346 nt
Filed under: uncultured bacterium
Lineage: Bacteria
Description: partial 16S ribosomal RNA
Rfam family: Bacterial small subunit ribosomal RNA
Source: RNAcentral